GCCGGGCGUGAUGGCGCACACCUGUAAUCCCAGCAGCUAGGGAGGCUGAGAUAGGAGAAUUGCAAGUUCAAAGCCAGCUUCAGCCACUUAGGAGGCACUAAGCAACUCAGUGAGACCCUGUCUCUA
RNAcentral lists this small RNA (126 nucleotides) under Marmota monax (woodchuck). The record is from RNAcentral. Lineage: Eukaryota; Metazoa; Chordata; Mammalia; Rodentia; Sciuridae.